AGUGGAACUGCUGGGCCUAUGUUAAAUCUUCAUUUAACCUUUGGAGGAACUGCCAUAUUGCUUUCCAAAGUGGCUGCACCAUUUUACAUUCCCACCGGCAAC
This 102-nucleotide microRNA precursor is filed under the name Marmota monax (woodchuck). The record is from RNAcentral. Lineage: Eukaryota; Metazoa; Chordata; Mammalia; Rodentia; Sciuridae.